This 404-nucleotide ribosomal RNA is filed under the name Fusobacteriota bacterium. Its description in RNAcentral is "Fusobacteria bacterium partial 16S ribosomal RNA". It matches the Rfam family "Bacterial small subunit ribosomal RNA", at positions 355 to 776 of the family's 1533-position model. Lineage: Bacteria; Fusobacteriati; Fusobacteriota. The record is from RNAcentral.
UGGGGAAUAUUGCACAAUGGAGGGAACUCUGAUGCAGCGACGCCGCGUGAGUGAUGAAGGACUUCGUUUCGUAAAACUCUGUUCUAUGGGAAGAAAAGGACUGUACCAUAGGAGAAAGCUCCGGCUAAAUACGUGCCAGCAGCCGCGGUAAUACGUAUGGAGCGAGCGUUGUCCGGAAUUAUUGGGCGUAAAGGGUGCGCAGGCGGCUUUACAAGUUGGAUGUGAAAUAUUGUGGCUCAACCACAAACGUGCAUCCAAAACUGCAAAGCUUGAGUUAAGGAGAGGUAAGUGGAAUUCCUGGUGGAGCGGUGGAAUGCGUAGAUAUCAGGAGGAAUACCGGUGGCGAAGGCGACUUACUGGACUUAAACUGACGCUCAGGCACGAAAGCGUGGGGAGCAAACAGG